This is a non-coding RNA of Glycine soja, 97 nucleotides long. Lineage: Eukaryota; Viridiplantae; Streptophyta; Magnoliopsida; Fabales; Fabaceae. The record is from Rfam.
GACAACAUGCGCUGAGUCUUGUGGGAAAGGGUAAAGAGAAGAUUAGCAUGCCCUGCACAAGAUGACACCCACAAAUCGAGAAAUGAUCCAAUUUUUG